GAUGAACGCUGGCGGCGUGCCUAAUACAUGCAAGUCGAGCGAACAGACGAGGAGCUUGCUCCUCUGACGUUAGCGGCGGACGGGUGAGUAACACGUGGAUAACCUACCUAUAAGACUGGGAUAACUUCGGGAAACCGGAGCUAAUACCGGAUAGCAUGUUGAACCGCAUGGUUUAACAGUGAAAGACGGUCUUGCUGUCACUUAUAGAUGGAUCCGCGCCGCAUUAGCUAGUUGGUAAGGUAACGGCUUACCAAGGCAACGAUGCGUAGCCGACCUGAGAGGGUGAUCGGCCACACUGGAACUGAGACACGGUCCAGACUCCUACGGGAGGCAGCAGUAGGGAAUCUUCCGCAAUGGGCGAAAGCCUGACGGAGCAACGCCGCGUGAGUGAAGAAGGUCUUCGGAUCGUAAAACUCUGUUAUUAGGGAAGAACAAAUGUGUAAGUAACUAUGCACGUCUUGACGGUACCUAAUCAGAAAGCCACGGCUAACUACGUG
RNAcentral lists this ribosomal RNA (497 nucleotides) under uncultured bacterium. Its description in RNAcentral is "partial 16S ribosomal RNA". It matches the Rfam family "Bacterial small subunit ribosomal RNA", at positions 28 to 507 of the family's 1533-position model. The record is from RNAcentral.